RNAcentral lists this ribosomal RNA (271 nucleotides) under uncultured bacterium. Its description in RNAcentral is "partial 16S ribosomal RNA". It matches the Rfam family "Bacterial small subunit ribosomal RNA", at positions 524 to 794 of the family's 1533-position model. The record is from RNAcentral.
UACGGAGGGUGCGAGCGUUAAUCGGAAUUACUGGGCGUAAAGGGCGCGUAGGCGGUGAAGUCAGUCGGGUGUGAAAGCCCCGGGCUCAACCUGGGAACGGCAUCCGAUACUGCUUCGCUAGAGUAUGGUAGAGGGAAGCGGAAUUCCGGGUGUAGCGGUGAAAUGCGCAGAUAUCAGGAGGAACACCGGUGGCGAAGGGGGGUCCCUAGGCCGGCUCCGACGCUGAGGGACGAAAGCUGGGGGAGCGAACCGGAUUAGAAACCCCAGUAGU